RNAcentral lists this ribosomal RNA (497 nucleotides) under uncultured bacterium. RNAcentral describes it as "partial 16S ribosomal RNA". It matches the Rfam family "Bacterial small subunit ribosomal RNA", at positions 28 to 507 of the family's 1533-position model. The record is from RNAcentral.
GAUGAACGCUGGCGGCGUGCCUAAUACAUGCAAGUCGAGCGAACAGACGAGGAGCUUGCUCCUCUGACGUUAGCGGCGGACGGGUGAGUAACACGUGGAUAACCUACCUAUAAGACUGGGAUAACUUCGGGAAACCGGAGCUAAUACCGGAUAAUAUAUUGAACCGCAUGGUUCAAUAGUGAAAGACGGUUUUGCUGUCACUUAUAGAUGGAUCCGCGCCGCAUUAGCUAGUUGGUAAGGUAACGGCUUACCAAGGCAACGAUGCGUAGCCGACCUGAGAGGGGGAUCGGCAACACGGGACGUGAGCCCCGGUCCAGGCCCCUACGGGAGGCAGCAGUAGGGAAUUUUCCGCAAUGGGCGAAAGCCGGACGGAGCAACGCCGCGUGAGUGAUGAAGGUCUUCGGAUCGAAAAACUUUGUUAUUAGGGAAAAACAAAUGUGAAAGAAACUAUGCACGUCUUGACGGUACCUAAUAAGAAAGCCCCGGCUAACUACGUG